AUUGAACGCUGGCGGCAUGCCUUACACAUGCAAGUCGAACGGCAGCACGUGUGCUCGCACCUGGUGGCGAGUGGCGUACGGGUGAGUAAUACAUCGGAACAUGUCCUGCAGUGGGGGCUAGCCCGGCGAAAGCCGGAUUAAUACCGCAUACGAUCCACGGACGAAAGCGGGGGACCUACGGGCCUGGCGCUAUAGGGUUGGUCGAUGGCUGAUUAGCUAGUUGGUGGGGUAAAGGCCUACCAAGGCGACGAUCAGUAGCUGGUCUGAGAGGACGACCAGCCACACUGGGACUGAGACACGGCCCAAACUCCUACGGGAGGCAGCAGUGGGGAAUUUUGCACAAUGGGCGAAAGCCUGAUCCAGCAAUGCCGCGUGUGUGAAGAAGGCCUUCGGGUCGUAAAGCACUUUUGUCCGGAAAGAAAGCCUUGGCCCUAAUACGGUCGGGGGAUGACGGUACCGGAAGAAUAAGCACCGGCUAACUACGUG
This 486-nucleotide ribosomal RNA is filed under the name uncultured bacterium. Its description in RNAcentral is "partial 16S ribosomal RNA". It matches the Rfam family "Bacterial small subunit ribosomal RNA", at positions 30 to 507 of the family's 1533-position model. The record is from RNAcentral.